GUGGGGAGCAAACAGGAUUAGAUACCCUGGUAGUCCACGCUGUAAACGAUGGACGUUAGGUGUUGGGGGAACCGACCCCCUCAGUGCCGAAGCUAACGCGUUAAACGUCCCGCCUGGGGAGUACGGCCGCAAGGUUGAAACUCAAAGGAAUUGACGGGGGCCCGCACAAGCGGUGGAGCACGUGGUUUAAUUCGAUG
Molecule: ribosomal RNA, 197 nt
Filed under: uncultured bacterium
Lineage: Bacteria
Description: partial 16S ribosomal RNA
Rfam family: Bacterial small subunit ribosomal RNA
Source: RNAcentral